This 1072-nucleotide long non-coding RNA is filed under the name Solanum tuberosum (potato). RNAcentral's name for it is "long non-coding RNA (STUB_LNC008614)". The stretch from base 697 to 890 matches the Rfam family "MIR159 microRNA precursor family". Lineage: Eukaryota; Viridiplantae; Streptophyta; Magnoliopsida; Solanales; Solanaceae. The record is from RNAcentral.
AAAGGACAAGAAAAAAGGUCGGACAAUAAAAAGAAAAUUUGUACAACUUUAUUUUUUGGUUUCCCAUCCGUGUCCGAUAUCACUCAGAAUAAAACACUUUUUAAUAAAAGUGAUUUUAUACUCAGAGAAUUUAAACUCGAGAUCUUUAAUUAAGAAUAUAGAAAUUCUUUGUUACACCAACAACAAAAAAAAACAAAAAAAUUAUAUUUGAUUUUCAUCAUCAUGUAAUAUAUAUCUCAGCAAAAUAUAAUAAUAAUAAAAAAUCCAUUGGAGAGCUUCAGGAAAACCCUAAACACCCUUGAGCUUCAAAGUCAUCAGACUCGGGAUUUGAAAUUUAUGAGUGCUGAAAUUGUCACCGAAUUAAUAAUUAAAUAUUCAUAAUAGAAAUGUAAAGUCUAAACAAAAAACUAUUGAAUUUAUCUGAAUCCGUACCUAAUAUGUAGCUCCGCUCCAGCCUUAAUAACUAAAGCUUCACAUAAAAACAGCUCAAGGUUGAAUUAGGAUCAGGCAAAUAUAAGCUGCAAAUGAAAAAAAGAUAAAGAUAUUAAUUAGUGUAUAAAACUUAAUUAAUUAACCAAGAAAAUUUCAAGUGUAUAUUUAACCCUAGCAAGUUAAUUAAAUCAUGCAUGACCAAUACUAUAUAUGUUUAAUUUGUCGAAUAAAUAUUAGGUACUCGGUAAAAUAAUCGAUAUGAAAAAAGGUAAGAGGGAGCUCCCUUCAGUCCAAGUACAGGAAGCUCAAGACUCAACUUGUACUCCCGCUUCAUUCACUCAGUUGCUGAGGUGGCAUUCGACUAUCAAGACCUCAACAUUUGGAUGAAUGAGUCGGCAGCAAAUUGAACCCUAUCGCCCCCCAUGUGUGGACCGAAGAAAGCUCUCUUCAUAUAUAUAUCCAAUCAGAUAACAAUAAUUAUUACGCCUCAAUCAGAUACACUUCGUUCCACUUAAUACUAUAAAAACUUAACCCUAUAACACAAGACAUUUGCAUAUUAACUUUUUUUUUUUUUAUGUAGAUGAUAUGAGAGAAAUAUAUGCUAAGAGGUAAAGAGGAAAUGUGGAGUACUAGCUAGGUG